UGCGUAGGUGGUUGUUUAAGUCUGUUGUGAAAGCCCUGGGCUCAACCUGGGAACUGCAGUGGAAACUGGACGACUAGAGUGUGGUAGAGGGUAGCGGAAUUCCUGGUGUAGCAGUGAAAUGCGUAGAGAUCAGGAGGAACAUCCAUGGCGAAGGCAGCUACCUGGACCAACACUGACACUGAGGUGCGAAAGCGUGGGGAGCAAACA
This 207-nucleotide ribosomal RNA is filed under the name uncultured bacterium. Its description in RNAcentral is "partial 16S ribosomal RNA". It matches the Rfam family "Bacterial small subunit ribosomal RNA", at positions 568 to 774 of the family's 1533-position model. The record is from RNAcentral.